AGCGAACGUUUGCGGCGGGCCUAACACAUGCAAGUCGAACGGGCAGGGGCAACCCUGUCAGUGGCGCACGGGUGCGUAACACGUGGGUAAUCAACCCUUUGGACUGGGACAACCCGGGGAAACUCGGGCUAAUACCGGAUGUGGCGUGGCGGUCCUCGGACUGCUCCGCGAAAGCUCCGCAAGGGGCACCAGAGGACGAGCCCGCGUCCCAUCAGCUAGUUGGUGAGGUAAUGGCUCACCAUGGCGAAGACGGGUAGCUGGUCUGAGAGGAUGAUCAGCCACACUGGAACUGAGACACGGUCCAGACUCCUACGGGAGGCAGCAGUGGGGAAUAUUGCGCAAUGGGCGAAAGCCUGACGCAGCCACGCCGCGUGUGCGAUGAAGGUCUUCGGAUCGUAAAGCACUGUGGGGGGAGAAGAAACAAGCCGGUGAAGAGCCGGCCCUGACGGUAUCCCCUUAGCAAGCACCGGCUAACUCCGUGCCAGCAGCCGCGGU
Molecule: ribosomal RNA, 495 nt
Filed under: uncultured bacterium
Lineage: Bacteria
Description: bacterial SSU rRNA
Rfam family: Bacterial small subunit ribosomal RNA
Source: RNAcentral